CGGGUGCCGGCCGGCGGGGCCCGGCGCGCCUGGGACGCGGGCAGGGACGGACGGGCAGUCAUCGACCGGAUCUGCUCCGCGGCACCUGCCC
This 91-nucleotide transfer RNA is filed under the name Streptomyces lavendulae subsp. lavendulae. RNAcentral's name for it is "tRNA-Pro". Lineage: Bacteria; Bacillati; Actinomycetota; Actinomycetes; Kitasatosporales; Streptomycetaceae. The record is from RNAcentral.